This is a long non-coding RNA of Stegostoma tigrinum, 4158 nucleotides long. RefSeq lists it as uncharacterized. The record is from RefSeq and is a predicted model, not a curated record. The transcript has 4 exons. Lineage: Eukaryota; Metazoa; Chordata; Chondrichthyes; Orectolobiformes; Stegostomatidae.
GGGGACCCGGGGAAGGAGUUGUUGGGUCAGGAACUGGGGUAGACCGUGUUCCUGACAGUAGGAGGGAGAGCACUCACCAAGUUAGCCUCCUGGAUCGGGUAAAUGUGACCAAUACUCCCACUCUGUGUUACCUCAGAGAAGAGGAGAGGCAUAAGAUCGUGUGAAUCAGGAACAGGAGGAGGCCAUUCAGCCCCCUCAAAUCCUUGCUCCACUAAUCCUCACCCUAACUUAAACUCAAUCCUACCGCUAAACUAAAUCUUUGUCCUAAACCGAGCUCUCAUUCUCAUUCUAAUCUUGCCUCUCAGCCAAAUGCUAACUAAAACUAAUAACUAACCCAAGCCUUAAGCCUAGCCGUAGACUGAACACUGACCCUCACCCGAACCCUCGCCUCAUCACCUUAAACCAAACCUUAAUGCUGAACCAACCUUAACCCUAACGCUGGCCCAACCCAUAACCCAAAACCUAACCAUGACCCUAAUCCUAAUCUGAAUCCUAACACUAACCUUAAACUGAAUACUAACCCUCACCAUAAAACAAUCCUUAACCUCAUGCUAACCCUAACUCUGGCCUUGGCCCUCACUCAGACACGAACGAAACCCUCACCUAAUCCCUGUCACAAGUGGUUAAUGUGCAUUCAGAUGGGUUUGAUGAUUCUCAUCUAUUGAUGUGUUUGCUCUCUGCUUAUGACUGAGAAAGGGCUUUGCAGCUCCUGUCUGGAACAGCACAAAGCUACUGUCCAAUACGCUAAGAAUGUUAUCUCUCUACCUGCAGGCAAUUCCUCACCUGUGUCACAGCCCAAGAGGUAAGGGGAUGAAACUGCAAAUUUUAUAUUUGCCAUUGUUUAUCCUGAUUCCCCUUAAUCAGGGAGCGACAACGAGCAGAAGAACUGAGAGAGGGAACUUGGGUAUUGCCUUAUCCUUUUAAUAUGAGCCUGACAAACCAGGAAACAAUACUCCUGGAAAGUCCCAGGUGGCUUUUAUUCAUUCACAGGGGUGUGCGUGUCACUGACAGGGCCAGCAUUUUAUUGCCAAUCCUUAAUUGCCCCAGAGGGCAGUUUUGUUAACCAGCUUCUAGAGUCACAAAUGGGCCAGACCAGGUAAGAAUAGCAGAUUUCCUUCCCCAAAGGACAUAAGUGAAAAGCGAUGGGGAAUUGGGCAGCUCCUUGAGGGUGAGAAAGCUCCAUGUUUGGAUGGAAACCAGGGACGUGGGACCAAUGAAUAACAGGGUCUCACUGGGCUUUGUAAUUUCCGUGGUAGCUUUGCUGUUUUGUUGAAGCUGAGCGUGGGGUUGAAAGCGUUGUGUUUGAAAUGACAACUUCCUUCCCUUCCCCUUUCUACUGGAAAUAGAUCCCAAGCUUCUGGUGAAGUGGCAGCAGCCAGCAACCUGGAGUAUGCAGUAAUCGGAGCAGCACACAAUGCUGAAAACGCCGCUGCGGAUAUAGUUUAUUCAGUGGUCACCACCAAAAAGAGAACAGAGUCUGGCAGCAGUGUUGGUUUCUCCUCGAAUGGGAAGGAGGAUGCCAAGCCUGACCCCAAUGAUUCCUGUAUCACAUACGCCACACUGAACCUCAGCGAGCUCUCAGAGGAAGAAGACAGAGCGGAUGGAAAUGUUUACGAGAAUAUUCCACACAAGUAAGAAAGAAGAAGACAGAUGAGAGGCGGGUCAUUCGAUUUUUAUAGACUGUCUGGUGAAGAGGUACAAUGUAACUCCUGUGUACAGAUCGCAAACUUGUGAACUUUGCGAUGGAAACCAUCUUUCACACGUUGUUCUGCUCCACUCAUUGUGAAGCUAAUUUCAUGUUGUUGCAUCUGUUGGUCUGUUCUGGACAUUGCAGGCCGUUAGUUUUGUAAAUUCAAAACUAUUUCAGCAGCUGUGGUCUUUGGAAAUUUAAUACCUGCCUCUCCUUCCCUCUCAUGUACAUGUCUGAGGAUUGAGCUUUUCAGUUGGUCCAUGUUUAAGGGGAGGAAGACAUCAUCUGCCACCUUGUGCGCAUGGAACAGGAAUCUCCCCUAUUCUGACCAACUUUGAACAGGAAUUGCCAGAAGGAUCUGACAGUUGGGAGAUAUAUAAAAGGAGAAACCAGCCAAUUUCAAUGGUUACAUUCCAGGGCGAAAGAGACCUGGGGUGUGGGGUUGGAAGGAGCAACUUCUGGCCCCACAGAAGGAACACACACUGAGCUGCAAGCCACUGAACAAACUGGAUAGAAAAGGCAUGGAUGAAACAGAGUCUAUACGGAAAAGACUAGAUCUCCCAAAGAACCAAAACCCCUGCUGGACACUUCAACUCGGCUUUCUGAGAUUCCAAAACCCAUUGUGGGAAUGGGAACGUAGGGGGUUUCUCUCCGCUGCAGGUAUUUUGGAAACGCCACAUUGUCAGGAUGGGGGAUCACACACCUCCAGAGUGGCAGGCUUGACCUUUGAAUGGGGAAGCGAUGGCCUCAUGGGAUUAUCGCGGAACUGUUAAUCCAGAUGUUCCAGUGAUGUUCUGGGGACCCGGGUUCAAAUCCUGCAACACAGAUUGUGGAAUUUAAAUUCAUCAAAAUCCUGUAAUUGAGAGUCUGAUGGUGACUGUGAAUCAAUUGUUGGGAAACCCCAUCUGGUUCACUCACGUGGUUUAGGGAAGGAAACUGCUAUCCUUACCUGGCCUGGCCUUCAUGUGACUCCAGACCCACAGCAAAGUGGUUGAUUUUUAACAGCCCCCUGGACAGCUAAGGAUGGGCAACAAAUGUUGGCCUGGCCAGCAAUGCCCUCAUCCCAUGAAUUAAAAAAUGUCGGCUUUUUAGUCCCGACAUACAGACACUCUCGCUGCACCACAAAAGGGUUUGGGUUGAUGUAAGUACAGGCUUGGUAGAAGACGUUAAGAUUUUAACAUCGAUGCCGUCUGGAUCUGACAAUUGCUGGCCACCAAGAAAGGAGCAGCGCAAGUCCGAUUGCAAACUGGUGAACACCAACAGGGACAACACCAGCGCGAGGGCCAAAGGGUCUGGUCAAUAGGUACCAGGUACCUUUGAAUGGAACAGCAGGACUGUGCUGAUGAAUUGUUCACAUUCGAGCCAGUAAGGAUGGUGACUGGCUUAUUGCUGUUUUUUAAUCACGAUGACCCCUCGUUCAGGCGAAGGAUGUGGGGCAUUGCUGGUAAAGACAGCAUUUGUGCCCCUCAUCAUAGAGUCAUCGGGGCUAUUUCUGUGCUCUGUGACUCUUCGGCCUAACUCGUCCAUGCCAACCUGGUUUCCUAAACUGACCCAGCCCUGUUUACCUGUGUUUGAACCAUAUCCCUUCCAACCUUUCCUAUCCAUGUAUCUGCCAAAAUUUCUUUCAAAUAUUUAUAAUUUUACCCACCUCCGCCACUUCCCCUGACAGCUCAUUCCAUAUACCCACCACUGUCUGUGCGAAAGAUUUGCCCCUCAGGCCCCUUCUAAACCUUUCCCUUCUCACCUUAAACCUAUGCCCUCCACUUUUGGACUCUCCAACCCUGGGGUUAAAGACCUUGGCUUUCACCUUAUCUAUGUCCCUCAUGAUUUUUAAAACCUUCAAAGGGUCACCCCUCAGCCUCCGAUGCUCUGGAAAAAAAAAACAGCCUAUCCUUAUAGCCCAAACUCUCCAUUCCUGACAACAUGGUUAUGUUCAUUUUUUUCACCCUUUCCAAUUGAAUAACAUCCUUCCUGUAGCAACAUGACCAGAACUGUACACAAUGCAACAAGAAUAUCCUUAUCAAUGCCUUGUACAGCCACAACAUGAUGUUCCAACUCCUGUCCUCCAUGCUGCUUUCCCGAUCCAUCACCAUUUCGAUAAUAAUCUGCAUUCCUGUUUUCUUAUUUCUCCCAAAGUGGUAGCCUCACAUCAAUCCACAUCAAACUGCAUCAGCCGUGCAUUUGCCCACUCACUCAAUUUGACCCAAUGGCAUGGAAGCAUCUCUGCAUCCUCCUUCACAGCUCCCCCUCCCUCCGAACCCUGUGUUGAGAUGGAAAACUAAAUGAAAACACAAUGGUCCCAGUGUUUAUGAAGCAAUGGAAAGUAUUGUUCAUGGAUGGUGUACAUUGGGAUGGGUUUAAUCUGUCGCUGUGUUAUUGUAAAUGUAAUUUCUUGAUGAUAUUUGCUUUUGUACACAACAAUGCUGCCUUUGGAGAUGAAUAAAAUUGUAACACACAACAAAUUGGUG